Non-coding RNA from Pantherophis guttatus, 1246 nucleotides. Lineage: Eukaryota; Metazoa; Chordata; Lepidosauria; Squamata; Colubridae. The record is from RefSeq and is a predicted model, not a curated record.
GGGGGGGGGGGGGGGGGGGGGGGGGGGGGGGGAAGGGCUCAGGACACGACGUCAUUGGGAAAGGGCAAAGCCACGAGUCUCUCCAACUGCUCGGGCUGGCUUCCCUUUGCAAUUUUUCUCUCGCGCUGCUCCGCUCCAGAUCGGUGCGUCCUUUGCCAACAGCGAGCGCCGCUGCCAAAGGAGACUUUAGCGAAGAGGAAAGAGCGGGACUCAACUUCCUCCAGCUUGGUAGAGCAACGCACCCGCUCGGGUCCGUCGCCCCACCCCGAGGCCAGAGAAGAGACCCCCGAGGCCCGGAGUAUUUCCAUGAGGUCCUCAUAAGGCAGGAGUGUCAAAUUGGCAGCCCGCAGGCCGGAUGCGUCAUGCACAGGACACGCCCACCCCAGCUCUGCGAAGAGAAAAAAAAGUCACGAUAUGUCACGUGAUGGCAACAUGACUCCACGAGUUUGAAACCCAUGUCAUAAGGCAACCUUGUAGGGUUGUUGUCAGGAAAGUCUAAGAUAUUAUGACUGGCUUCAGUUUUGUGACUGGGGGGGAUCAGAACAAAUCUUGGAUUGCAAUAUGCAAAGGAAGGAGAAAUUAUUGUAAAAUUAACAUUUCAGCAGCAAAACCACAAAAUAUAUUAUUUUCCAACAAGGGAGUUUACAUUUUGGAAACAAUUUACUUCUAAGCAUUAUAUGAAGGGAAGAAAUAAUAGGAUGAAUAUUGCCUCUGGGCCCUGUCUAGAAAAUAUCUAAUUCACCAACUAAUGCCACUGGAGACAGAAGGUAGAGCUGGAGAGAUUUUUGGGUUAGCUAAAUGAAGCCUCCAUGUUUAGAGGCAAUAUACCUCUGAAAACCAACAGAUGGGGGGUGGGGACCACCAACAGAGCAAAACUUCAUGCCUUCAUAAGUUGUUUGUGGGCUUCCUGGAGGCAUCUGGCUUGCAGCUGUUGGAAACAGGAUGUCGGAUUAGAUGGACCUUGGUUUGAUCCAAGAAGACAUGCCAGCUCUUCUCUGGGUUUCAAGAAAAGACACUACUACAGAGCUAUUUUGGUGCAUUAUGAGAGGAAAUAUCUUCAAUAUUGUGCAUAUUAUAAAUAUAAGCCAUCCCGGAUUCUAGAAAGAAGUUAAACUAUAAAUAUCAAUAAAUAAAACGUUGUGUUCUUUUUUCAAUUUGUUGUAAUCUUGGCAAAAAGAGGAAUACCCCCCCCCCGAAAAAAAACCAUAAAAAGCAGAAUAAAAUGUCUUCUCUGCUAUGGAUAAAA